Molecule: long non-coding RNA, 244 nt
Filed under: Phaseolus vulgaris (common bean)
Lineage: Eukaryota; Viridiplantae; Streptophyta; Magnoliopsida; Fabales; Fabaceae
Description: long non-coding RNA (PVUL_LNC001848)
Source: RNAcentral
UCAAAAUCUAGAGACAAGAACUCCAAAUAUUGUCGUUAUUGCAAGAAAAAGGGACACGAGAUCUCUGAAUGUUAUAAAUUGAAAAAUAAGCAAGAUAGAGAAGAUAAGGGAAAUGGUAAACAACCAGAAAAAUUUGCCGAAGCUAGUAUUGUUGAAACUGAAUCUGAUGGGGAUUGUUUUGUAGCUUCCAACACUGAACAAAGGUCUAAAAAUGAAUGGAUUCUUGAUUCUGGUUGUACUUUUC